AACUUAAUUUUUAAAGUCCAAUCCAAUUUAUUUUGAGUCACUUAAGCCUAAAAAUUUAAUAAAAGUUCAAAUCAAUUUUUUCAGAUCCAAACACUAAUUAUAAACUGAAAUUAAAUUUUAAAAAUUUUUAAGGUCAAAUGUCAUUUUUUUUUAUUAAAAUUAAUUAAAUAGGAACGGCUGGCAGCCUUCCCUCUCCAUUAUCAGCUUCCUCUGUUUUUACCUCCCAUUUCACCUAUUCAACUCUAACACAAAUUCAUCAAAAAAUCCACCCAAGAACCAGCAUGCUACGCCUCCCGAACUGCAGCAAUGGCUGUUGCAACAAGAGUCCAACAAAAAUCAAUUGCCAUGUUCAUUUUUCCGGAGUUGAAUCCUAAAAGAACCGAGAAGGUUUUAACAUAGAGAAGGAGGGGACAAUUCAGAGAACCAAAGAAAAAAAAAACACAUUACCAAUCUACAAUGCCCAUUCACAGAAACGGAAACCCCAUAGCCCUUCCCAGCAUCCUCUUCCAACCUCCACAGCCGAGAACCACAUCCAAGAGCUAUCCCAUCCUAAACCAUCACGAAUAGACAGGAAAAUCUCAGAAGCCCCUUCCCUUAGCCACCCUCUACCCCAUAUACAACACCAGCAGAAAACCAUCCCUAGACUCCUUUGAACCACCAAAAAACUCCACCACCAUAAACACCCCUCUGAACCACCAAAUUCAAAACAUCCAACCAACACCAUCACUAACCCUCCACGCAGACCACCCGCGGCCUCACACCACCUCUGAAUCACCAUAACAGCCUGCGUCAUCACGCCUUCGGCUACCAUCCACCACCAUCAUUUCUCACAUCACCAACACAUAAACCCAAACCCGAACCACCAACCAACACCAUCGAGAACCACCAUCAACCCAACCCCUGCCUCUGCCUCCUUGACAGCCGAAACCAGCCCCUUUGUGACCCACCAUCGACCAAAAAAAAUAAAAAAUCAUCACAAGCCUACCUAAGCACCCCAGUCGAAAACCACUGCGUACAGCCACCACUGACCACCAAACCAUCACAGCCCCAAUCCCCACACCAACUGCCGAACUACUCCACCCUCAACCACCCAAAAAAAAUAUUUUUUUCUUUGAAAACUGAAACCAACUGUCAAGCAACGAGUAACCAGAAAAGAAAUUCACAUCCCCUGGGAGGGGACAAGCAGAGUCAAUAAGCCAAAACAAAAAACAAAAAGGAUAUAAAAAUCGGCAGAGGGAGAAAGCCAAGGAGCUUCGGUUUGGGAUGGCUCUAGUGAAGUUUCAGUGCUCAUUUUUGUGGAGGAAGAAGGAAUUGGGUAGCAGAGUGACAUACUAGGAGAACAGCUUGGUGCAGGCGGCGGAGGUAGUAGUUUUGGGUUUUUUUGUUAACUUUGAACCUAGAUCUAGGAUUAUUCGUGUUGAUUCAUGUAAAAAAAAAGGCCGGAUUUGAGAAGAGGGGAUCGGAAAGACGUUUCGGUGAAAUUUCGGCAUCCACAAGACGCCCGCCCGAGGUUGCUAUCUGCGGAACUGGGGAUUUAUUGGGCUGCUGGGUUUUGUUUAGAGAGGUUUUGGUGUUUUUUUUUUUU
Molecule: long non-coding RNA, 1585 nt
Filed under: Durio zibethinus
Lineage: Eukaryota; Viridiplantae; Streptophyta; Magnoliopsida; Malvales; Malvaceae
Description: long non-coding RNA (DZIB_LNC001208)
Source: RNAcentral